Molecule: ribosomal RNA, 647 nt
Filed under: uncultured Staphylococcus sp.
Lineage: Bacteria; Bacillati; Bacillota; Bacilli; Caryophanales; Staphylococcaceae
Description: bacterial SSU rRNA
Rfam family: Bacterial small subunit ribosomal RNA
Source: RNAcentral
UGGUUCAAUAGUGAAAGACGGUUUUGCUGUCACUUAUAGAUGGAUCCGCGCCGCAUCAGCUAGUUGGUAAGGUAACGGCUUACCAAGGCAACGAUGCGUAGCCGACCUGAGAGGGUGAUCGGCCACACUGGAACUGAGACAUGGUCCAGACUCCUACGGGAGGCAGCAGUAGGGAAUCUUCCGCAAUGGGCGAAAGCUUGACGGAGCAACGCCGCGUGAGUGAUGAAGGUCUUCGGAUCGUAAAACUCUGUUAUUAGGGAAGAACAAAUGUGUAAGUAACUAUGCACGUCUUGACGGUACCUAAUCAGAAAGCCACGGCUAACUACGUGCCAGCAGCCGCGGUAAUACGUAGGUGGCAAGCGUUAUCCGGAAUUAUUGGGCGUAAAGCGCGCGUAGGCGGUUUUUUAAGUCUGAUGUGAAAGCCCACGGCUCAACCGUGGAGGGUCAUUGGAAACUGGAAAACUUGAGUGCAGAAGAGGAAAGUGGAAUUCCAUGUGUAGCGGUGAAAUGCGCAGAGAUAUGGAGGAACACCAGUGGCGAAGGCGACUUUCUGGUCUGUAACUGACGCUGAUGUGCGAAAGCGCGGGGAUCAAACAGGAUUAGAUACCCUGGUAGUCCACGCCGUAAACGAUGAGUGCUAAGUGUUA